GUAGGCAUAGUUUAACAAAAAUAUUAGAUUGUGAUUCUAAAGACAGAGGUUAAAAUCCUCUUGCCCACC
RNAcentral lists this transfer RNA (69 nucleotides) under Ctenotrypauchen chinensis. Its description in RNAcentral is "tRNA-His". It matches the Rfam family "tRNA". Rfam says of the family: Transfer RNA (tRNA) molecules are approximately 80 nucleotides in length. RNAcentral also lists the same sequence under 1 other name. The record is from RNAcentral. Lineage: Eukaryota; Metazoa; Chordata; Actinopteri; Gobiiformes; Gobiidae.